UGGGGAAUAUUGCACAAUGGGCGCAAGCCUGAUGCAGCCAUGCCGCGUGUAUGAAGAAGGCCUUCGGGUUGUAAAGUACUUUCAGCGGGGAGGAAGGGAGUAAAGUUAAUACCUUUGCUCAUUGACGUUACCCGCAGAAGAAGCACCGGCUAACUCCGUGCCAGCAGCCGUGGUAAUACGGAGGGUGCAAGCGUUAAUCGGAAUUACUGGGCGUAAAGCGCACGCAGGCGAUUUGUUAAGUCAGAUGUGAAAUCCCCGGGCUCAACCUGGGAAAUGCAUCUGAUACUGGCAUCAUUCAGGCUCGUAGAGGAGGGUAGAAUUCCAGGUGUAGCGCGGAAAUGCGUAGAGAACUGGAGGAACACCGGUGGCGAAGACGGCCCCCUGGAAGAAAACUAACGCUCAGGUGCGAAAGCGUGGGGAGCAAACAGG
This 429-nucleotide ribosomal RNA is filed under the name Chloroflexota bacterium. RNAcentral describes it as "Chloroflexi bacterium partial 16S ribosomal RNA". It matches the Rfam family "Bacterial small subunit ribosomal RNA", at positions 355 to 776 of the family's 1533-position model. The record is from RNAcentral. Lineage: Bacteria; Bacillati; Chloroflexota.